Molecule: ribosomal RNA, 434 nt
Filed under: uncultured Lachnospiraceae bacterium
Lineage: Bacteria; Bacillati; Bacillota; Clostridia; Lachnospirales; Lachnospiraceae
Description: bacterial SSU rRNA
Rfam family: Bacterial small subunit ribosomal RNA
Source: RNAcentral
ACGGAAGGCAGCAGUGGGGAAUAUUGCACAAUGGGCGAAAGCCUGAUGCAGCGACGCCGCGUGAGUGAAGAAGUAUCUCGGUAUGUAAAGCUCUAUCAGCAGGGAAGAAAAUGACGGUACCUGACUAAGAAGCCCCGGCUAACUACGUGCCAGCAGCCGCGGUAAUACGUAGGGGGCAAGCGUUAUCCGGAUUUACUGGGUGUAAAGGGAGCGUAGACGGUUUGGCAAGUCUGAAGUGAAAUGCGGGGGCUCAACUCCUGAACUGCUUUGGAAACUGUCGAACUAGAGUGCAGGAGAGGUAAGUGGAAUUCCUAGUGUAGCGGUGAAAUGCGUAGAUAUUAGGAGGAACACCAGUGGCGAAGGCGGCUUACUGGACCGUAACUGACGUUGAGGCUCGAAAGCGUGGGGAGCAAACAGGAUUAGAUACCCUGGUA